Molecule: unclassified non-coding RNA, 182 nt
Filed under: uncultured Xylariales
Lineage: Eukaryota; Fungi; Ascomycota; Sordariomycetes; Xylariales
Also listed under: 1 other name
Description: sequence contains ITS2
Source: RNAcentral
CAACCCUUAAGCCUAGCUUAGUGUUGGGAAUCUAUGUGUGGCCCACGUUACCCUGUAGCGUGGUUACCCUGUAGUUCCUGAAAAUCAACGGCGGAUUUAUAGUAUCCUCUGAGCGUAGUAAUUUUUUAUCUCGCUUCUGUUUAGGUGCUGUAGAUUCUGCCGCUAAACCCCCAAUUUUUUGU